This 112-nucleotide ribosomal RNA is filed under the name Metschnikowia agaves. Its description in RNAcentral is "5.8S ribosomal RNA". It matches the Rfam family "5.8S ribosomal RNA", at positions 1 to 114 of the family's 154-position model. From Rfam's summary of the family: 5.8S ribosomal RNA (5.8S rRNA) is a component of the large subunit of the eukaryotic ribosome. It is transcribed by RNA polymerase I as part of the 45S precursor that also contains 18S and 28S rRNA. Lineage: Eukaryota; Fungi; Ascomycota; Pichiomycetes; Serinales; Metschnikowiaceae. The record is from RNAcentral.
AAAACUUUCAACAACGGAUCUCUUGGUUCUCGCAUCGAUGAAGAACGCAGCGAAAUGCGAUACGUAGUAUGACUUGCAGACGUGAAUCAUUGAAUUUUUGAACGCACAUUGC